Molecule: RNA transcript, 2425 nt
Organism: Vespula vulgaris
Lineage: Eukaryota; Metazoa; Arthropoda; Insecta; Hymenoptera; Vespidae
Gene name: CWF19-like protein 1
Exons: 8
Source: RefSeq, a predicted model, not a curated record
UAUAUUACAUUAAAAGUGAUAUUAAUUAUGUUACGUGGCGGUUGUUACUUUUGAAUAUUACAAUUUUAUUUAUCAGUUAUAGUUAACGAUGACUGAUUAGAAUUUAACAGAAAACUGAUAAAAUAACUAUCAAAGUCAUCCAUAUGUUUGUUGUUUACAUAAUCGAAUACAUUCGAAUUUCAACCGCCAAAUCAGUAGUUGAGUACAUUGGCACCAUGUCUACUUUACAUACAUGAAUAUUAUUAUAAAUAAUGAUACUUGGCCAUAGGAUAAGCACAGAGGGAUAAGGACAACUUAUAAAAAGAGAAAUUCGGCAUAGAGAGAGAAUUCUCAUCGUGAAGAAUUAGUGGUUAUAGAUACUUUUUAGUCUAUGUCUUGCAUAUAACCUAUAUUUUUUAUUGUGAACAUUGUAAUAAAGCCAGCACUUUAAUCUGUUAAGAAAAAUUACGACGAUGAUAUCUUAAAUAUAUACCAUAAAAGUAAAUAAUAUUUCUGAAUUGUAAGAAAUGACAGAUAAACAAAAGAUACUUAGCUGUGGUGAUGUAGAAGGACAUUUUAAAUUUCUAUUUACGAAAGUUGAAAAUAUUAACAAAAAAAAUGGACCAUUCGACUUUUUAUUAUGUGUCGGAAACUUCUUUGGUGAAAAUAAUAUAGAGCUUGAACCAUACAAAAAUGGUAUGAAAAAUAUUUCUGUUCCAACGUAUAUUAUUGGCCCAAAUAGGGAAACAGAUUUACAAUAUUACCCUGAUAUAGAUGGAUAUGAAAUUUGUCAAAAUUUAACUUACCUUGGUAGAAGAGGUUUAUAUAUUGCAACAUCAGGAUUAAAAAUUGCAUAUAUUAGUGGCAUUGAAAAUAAUACAACUGAAUCCAAAGCAAUCUGUUUCCAAAAGAAUGAUGUUAUAUCCAUAAAGAAUUCUUGUUUGAAAGGUCAACCAAGUUUUCGAGGAAUAGAUAUAUUAUUAUCCUCACCAUGGCCUAAAGGCAUUACCGAUUUAGAUCCAAAUAAACCUGAUAUCAAAUUUCAAGGAUCUGAAUUAAUAGCUUGGUUGGCUGCUCAAAUAAAGCCAAGAUAUCAUAUUUCAGCAUUAGAAAAUAUUCAUUAUGAAAGACCACCUUAUAGAAAUCAUAGUCAAGAUAAAAGUGGUAUUGAAAUUGCAACUAGAUUUAUUGCUCUUGGAUCGGUAGGAAACAAUGAAAAGAAGAAAUGGCUGUAUGCUUUGAACUUGACUCCUAUAGACAGAAUAAGAUUAUCUGAAUUAGUUAUGAAAACAACAGAUGAAACAUCUAGUCCUUAUUCAAAACACCUGUUACAUGAUGAACCAGUGGAAACAAAAACUACACAAUUUUUUUAUGACAUGGAAUUUAAAUCUAACAAACGUUCGAAAAAUUCAGAUUAUUCUUACAAGAAGCUUAAGACAGAAUUUGAUCAAACAAAAUGUUGGUUUUGUUUAUCUAGUCCUGAAGUAUCUAAGCACUUAGUAAUUGCUGUUGGUACAGAAGUUUAUGUAGCACUUGCUAGAGGUGGAUUGGUUGAAGACCAUAUGUUAAUUUCGCCGAUAACACAUCAUCAGAGUUUAUCAGUUUUACCACCAAAUAUUUUAAAAGAAAUGAAACUAUAUAAAGAGGCAAUAACAAAGUAUUUUGCAAGUAAAAAUCGAGUACCAGUAUUUUUUGAGAGAAAUUAUAAAACAUCUCACUGUCAAUUACAAGCUGUUCCAAUUCACAAAAAUCAAUCAUCUGUAGUUAAAGAAAUGUUUGAGGAAAUAGCAGAAUGUAAUAAUUUCAAAAUUGAUGAACUUCCACAUCACACAGACUUACAACAAAUUGCAAAACCUGGUACCACUAACUCUUCGUCAUAACGAUAAGCUCUUCCUAGCUUUUGAUUUCUUAUACCUAUGAAGAAAUAUAUUUAACUAAUGAAUACAUUCAUUCAUUGCUAUAUGGGAAUGAUCUUGCCACAAUAAAGUAACCAUCAAAGCGACUUUAGAAUGAGUAUGAAUGACUGCAUUAGCAUUUCUUCUAAGAUAUGCGCACAUAAAUAGUGGAGUACAUUGUGAUUUUUUCAAUUUUUUCUCAGCUGGAGGUAGUUCUAAAUCUUUUCCAUUUAUAUCUUGAACAAAUAUAUCAUCUGCAUUUAUUCGUUCUUUUUGUACACCUGAUGGAGCUAUAUAGAUUUUGUCUCUGAAAUAAUGAUUUACAAACUCAUGCUUGAUGGAUAUACCCCCACCGGUACCAGUAACCCAUCCUAAAUGAUAAAAUUGCUGACAUAAUUCAGUAUAUACUAAAACUGGAAGAAUAUACAGCAACAAUACCUUUGACAAUUUCUCAUUAUUGGAAGUCAUGGUAAUAAGCUUGUAAUAUUAAUAGCAAUGGGACUGAAAUUCUUAUCAAUUACUACGGUAAUGAAUAAAAAAAUUUGAACGAU